This 1360-nucleotide ribosomal RNA is filed under the name Chryseobacterium rhizoplanae. Its description in RNAcentral is "bacterial SSU rRNA". It matches the Rfam family "Bacterial small subunit ribosomal RNA", at positions 73 to 1441 of the family's 1533-position model. Lineage: Bacteria; Pseudomonadati; Bacteroidota; Flavobacteriia; Flavobacteriales; Weeksellaceae. The record is from RNAcentral.
AGAUCUUUCGGGAUCUUGAGAGCGGCGUACGGGUGCGGAACACGUGUGCAACCUGCCUUUAUCUGGGGGAUAGCCUUUCGAAAGGAAGAUUAAUACCCCAUAAUAUAAGAAACGGCAUCGUUUUUUAUUGAAAACUCCGGUGGAUAGAGAUGGGCACGCGCAAGAUUAGAUAGUUGGUGAGGUAACGGCUCACCAAGUCUACGAUCUUUAGGGGGCCUGAGAGGGUGAUCCCCCACACUGGUACUGAGACACGGACCAGACUCCUACGGGAGGCAGCAGUGAGGAAUAUUGGACAAUGGGUGAGAGCCUGAUCCAGCCAUCCCGCGUGAAGGACGACGGCCCUAUGGGUUGUAAACUUCUUUUGUAUAGGGAUAAACCUACCCUCGUGAGGGUAGCUGAAGGUACUAUACGAAUAAGCACCGGCUAACUCCGUGCCAGCAGCCGCGGUAAUACGGAGGGUGCAAGCGUUAUCCGGAUUUAUUGGGUUUAAAGGGUCCGUAGGCGGAUCUGUAAGUCAGUGGUGAAAUCUCACAGCUUAACUGUGAAACUGCCAUUGAUACUGCAGGUCUUGAGUGUUAUUGAAGUAGCUGGAAUAAGUAGUGUAGCGGUGAAAUGCAUAGAUAUUACUUAGAACACCAAUUGCGAAGGCAGGUUACUAAGCAACAACUGACGCUGAUGGACGAAAGCGUGGGGAGCGAACAGGAUUAGAUACCCUGGUAGUCCACGCCGUAAACGAUGCUAACUCGUUUUUGGGCUUUCGGNUUCAGAGACUAAGCGAAAGUGAUAAGUUAGCCACCUGGGGAGUACGUUCGCAAGAAUGAAACUCAAAGGAAUUGACGGGGGCCCGCACAAGCGGUGGAUUAUGUGGUUUAAUUCGAUGAUACGCGAGGAACCUUACCAAGGCUUAAAUGGGAAAUGACAGGUUUAGAAAUAGACUUUUCUUCGGACAUUUUUCAAGGUGCUGCAUGGUUGUCGUCAGCUCGUGCCGUGAGGUGUUAGGUUAAGUCCUGCAACGAGCGCAACCCCUGUCACUAGUUGCCAUCAUUAAGUUGGGGACUCUAGUGAGACUGCCUACGCAAGUAGAGAGGAAGGUGGGGAUGACGUCAAAUCAUCACGGCCCUUACGCCUUGGGCCACACACGUAAUACAAUGGCCGGUACAGAGGGCAGCUACACAGCGAUGUGAUGCAAAUCUCGAAAGCCGGUCUCAGUUCGGAUUGGAGUCUGCAACUCGACUCUAUGAAGCUGGAAUCGCUAGUAAUCGCGCAUCAGCCAUGGCGCGGUGAAUACGUUCCCGGGCCUUGUACACACCGCCCGUCAAGCCAUGGAAGUCUGGGGUACCUGAAGUCGGUGACCGUAACA